CCACUGGCACUGAAACACGGGCCAGACUCCUACGGGAGGCAGCAGUGGGGAAUCUUGCACAAUGGGGGAAACCCUGAUGCAGCGACGCCGCGUGAGCGAUGAAGCCCUUCGGGGUGUAAAGCUCUUUCGGCAGGGACGAUAAUGACGGUACCUGCAGAAGCAGCUGCGGCUAACUACGUGCCAGCAGCCGCGGUAAUACGUAGGCAGCGAGCGUUGUUCGGAGUUACUGGGCGUAAAGGGUGUGUAGGCGGUUUUCUAAGUUUGGUGUGAAAUCUCCCGGCUCAACCGGGAGGGUGCGCCGAAAACUGGGAGACUAGAGUGCGGGAUGGGAGAGUAGAAUUCCUGGUGUAGCGGUGAAAUGCGUAGAUAUCAGGAGGAAUACCGGUGGUGUAGACGGCUCUCUGGACCGCCACUGACGCUGAGACACGAAAGCGUGGGUAGCAAACAGGAUUAGAUACCCUGGUAGUCCACGCCCUAAACGAUGCAUAUUUGGUGUAGGUCAUUCAGUUGAUCUGUGCCGGAGCUAACGCGUUAAAUAUGCCGCCUGGGGAGUACAGUCGCAAGGCUGAAACUCAAAGGAAUUGACGGGGGCCCGCACAAGCGGUGGAGCAUGUGGUUCAAUUCGACGCAACGCGAAGAACCUUACCUGGGCUCGAACGGCUUCUCAACGAUCGUGGAAACACGGUUACUCCGCAAGGGGGUGGAGUCGAGGUGCUGCAUGGCUGUCGUCAGCUCGUGUCGUGAGACGUUGGGUUAAGUCCCGCAACGAGCGCAACCCUUGUCCUGUGUUGCCAUCCCGCAAGGGGGGACUCGCAGGAGACCGCCAGCGAUAAGCUGGAGGAAGGUGGGGAUGACGUCAAGUCCUCAUGGCCUUUAUGUCCAGGGCUACACACGUGCUACAAUGGCCGGUACAAAGCGCAGCUAAGCCGCGAGGUGGAGCCAAUCGCAAAAAACCGGUCUCAGUUCGGAUUGCAGGCUGCAACUCGCCUGCAUGAAGCUGGAAUCGCUAGUAAUGGCGUAUCAGAACGAUGCCGUGAAUACGUUCCCGGGCCUUGUACACACCGCCCGUCACAUCACGAAAGUGGGUUGUACUAGAAGUCUGCAGGCUGACCCGCAAGGGAGGCAGCGGCCCAAGGUAUGACUCAUGAUUGGGGUGAAGUCGGAACAAGGUAGCCGUAGGAGAACCUGCGGCUG
RNAcentral lists this ribosomal RNA (1194 nucleotides) under metagenome. RNAcentral's name for it is "bacterial SSU rRNA". It matches the Rfam family "Bacterial small subunit ribosomal RNA", at positions 310 to 1520 of the family's 1533-position model. The record is from RNAcentral.